UUAUGGCAUUUUGAAAGUUCAUGC
This 24-nucleotide non-coding RNA is filed under the name Arabidopsis thaliana (thale cress). The record is from RNAcentral. Lineage: Eukaryota; Viridiplantae; Streptophyta; Magnoliopsida; Brassicales; Brassicaceae.